Molecule: ribosomal RNA, 429 nt
Filed under: uncultured bacterium
Lineage: Bacteria
Description: bacterial SSU rRNA
Rfam family: Bacterial small subunit ribosomal RNA
Source: RNAcentral
UGGGGAAUUUUGCACAAUGGACGAAAGUCUGAUGCAGCAACGCCGCGUGGAGGAUGAAGGUCUUCGGAUUGUAAACUUCUGUUGAUUAGAAAGAAAGAACGGGAUGGAAUAUAUCUCGUUUAUGACGUUACUAGUCGAGAAAGCCCCGGCUAACUUCGUGCCAGCAGCCGCGGUAAUACAGAGGGGGCAAGCGUUAUUCGGAAUUAUUGGGCGUAAAGGGCGCGUAGGCGGUUUUUUAAGUCAGAUGUGUAAUCCCCGAGCUCAACUUGGGAACUGCAUCUGAGACUGGAAGGCUAGAGUACUGGAGAGGGUGGUGGAAUUCCUCGUGUAGCGGUGAAAUGCGUAGAGAUGAGGAGGAACACCAGUGGCGAAGGCGGCCACCUGGACAGUAACUGACGCUGAGGCGCGAAAGUGUGGGUAGCAAACAGG